Molecule: long non-coding RNA, 2188 nt
Filed under: Mus musculus (house mouse)
Lineage: Eukaryota; Metazoa; Chordata; Mammalia; Rodentia; Muridae
Description: long non-coding RNA chr14:54480874-54483062
Source: RNAcentral
AUUGCCUCCCCUGGGGACACCCACGCCUGCUGCUGCCUGAGCCAUGAGUUUGAACAAAGAGAGCAGAGGCAGCAGCUCUCCUCACCUCUAGACAUUUAGUUCAGCUACCUGAGUGCUGGAGAGCCAGGCCUCCAACCCACCACAUGCAGCGUCCUACAACCCGGUAAAGAGAGGUGAGGAGCCUCCUAGGUCCCUGUAGCUAGGGAGCAGGGCUGCCCAGCAGAGGAUGAGGUGGAAAUGUAAAGAAUGGAGUUACCCUUGGAAUCCAUUUAACUUCGUUAAUUCCUCAAAGACCGUAUAAGGCGUCGCCGUCUGCUUUACAGUAGAAGAAACCUUUGCAGUAGCUUGCCUGCAGUUACCCAGUAAACAGCAAGACAGAGGUUCUGUACAUCAUGUGCUCUGGUUCUAGCUAGAAAUCUGCAAUUCAGCACAGAUGAGGUAGAACUGUAGCAGAGAAGAUGUAGGGAUGCAACGGGCAGAGCCACGUGCGAUGGCCAGCCGUGGUGAAGGACAGGGAUGUGGCCUGGCUGGAGUGAAGUAAGAAGGCCUCCGUGACUCUUGUGCAUAGAGCAGUUCAGAUUUAAACAUGCAGGAAACCACACAGGGCCAGUAAGAGACCAGAUGGUUGUGCGUUUGGAUGGGGACCUCAGAGACACGAAGAGGAGGGUAAGAGAGGCGCAGACAGGAAAGAUUUGGAGCCCAACCACAAAGGACCUUAAAUGUCAGCAAAGGAGUUUGUGCCUAACUGCAGGAAGUGAGUCACCAAAGGCCUCUGAAUGUGUAACACGUUAGCAAUGGUCCUUUGAGACUAGGAGGCUGGUAGAGGUGUCCCUGGACCGGGACAGCAGUGAGUGGUAAGAACUGUGGAACUGUGUUCAGGGGCUAGAAACAGUGACUCACGUGGAGGUGACGCUGGGCCACCCUAAGAGGUGGUAUUGGAAAGCACAGGAAUCAUGGCCUGGAAGGUCAGAACUCAUGGGCUUGGUCCAGCUCUCAGGAGACUGAACAGGAGUAUCGUGAGUUCAAACUCAGCCCGAGCUACAUGGAACCAAGGGUUAUCUAGUAUCCCCCUGGCCCCCGCCUCUCCAGUGUCUCGGUUACAGGUGUUGGCUGCCAUGCCUGGCUUUAUGGAUGUCGUGGACUGAAUCUAAGGCUUCCUGCAUGCUAGGCAUCCUCAUCCUUGGGUUUUUUGCUUUUGUUUUUUAAUUGUUUUUUUAUUUUUAUUUUUUAAAUUGGAAUUGAAGAAAUGACUCAGUAGUUAAGAGCACUAGCUGUUCUUCCAAAGGACUUAGGUUUGAUUUCCGGGACCCACAUGGCAGCUUAAACCUGUAACUCCAGUUUCAAAGGAUUUGACCCUUUUGUCUGGUCUCUGUAGGCACCAGGGAUGUAAGGAGUACACAGAUGUACAUGCAGGAAAAACACCCAUGCACAUAAAAUAAUCAACUAAUAAAACAUUGCAUUUACUUGUGUGUUGGGUAGAAGCAGACCAUGGUGUGCAUGUGAGACAAGAAUACAGCUUGCAGGAGCUGGUAUUCCUUCCACCAUAAGGGUCUUGGGGAUGGGACACUGCUUGUCAGGUCGUAGCAUGAGUUAUCUCACCCUAGUUUUGCUUUUGGAGACAGGGUCUCACACUGUACCCCGGUCUGCCCUGUGUACUUCUGUCAGUAAUCUUGUCUCAUCCUCCCGGGACUACAAAUAUGAACCGCCACAUUCAGUUUUGGACUGCUUUUUAAUAUUCCAUUCUUAUUUUCUGUGUAUGGUAUGGGUGUUUUACGUCAGUACAUCGUGUGCGUGCAAUACCUGUGGAGUCCACAAGGGGGCAUUGGAUGCCCCGGAACUGGAGUUAGAGACUGUUGUAAGUCACCACGUGGGUGCUAAUGACUGGGUCCUCUGCAAGAGUAGCCAGUGCUUUUAACUAGUGAGCCAUCUCACCAGCCUCCCAGGUUUGGGUUAUCACCAUGGGAUUUAUUGCUUGUUCAGAGACCAAAUAAGAAUAAAACCGCUCUCUUACUCUUACUCCUUUGUUCCUUCACCUCUCACUUCUCUCACUUCUCUCUUCCCUUUCUCUUUGUCUUCUUCUUUCCUCUCCUCUUUCUCUUUCUCUCUAGCCUUUCUCUCUCUCUCUCCCCCUCUCUCUUUUCUACCUUCUCUCUUUCCCCUGUAUUUCUAUAAUAAAGCUCUUAAACCA